UUCGAAAUGAUCAACUCAUAACCUCCUCUUAAUCCCACCCCUUCCCCUUUUAGAGGAUCUCAUGCUUAAAUUCGCAGAGUCCCUCUUUUUUUAAGAAGUCUCCAGCUGCCUUUGGAUGGACCAAGCUUCCAGGUAAGGGAGUUCCAUUUCACGUUCUGUCUCUGCAAAGGGAUCCUGAGGAGACUGUUUUUUUGGAGGAAGAACCCAGAACAGUGAAUCCAGAAGAAAUUGGCAUAUUCUCUGGGCUUUGAUCCACUAACUACAUAUUAAAAGUUCCCCCUCAGUCUAUGUAGAGCUGACCAGGGAAGAACACUUUGGAGGUAUGUAUAAUCAAAUUUAUAAGAAAAAUCCUGGGAAGAAAAAGUAGAAGUGAGAAGACAAGUGCUAAUAGUAACAAAAACUGGGGAGGUAGAAACAUGACCUUUCCUCUUUCUUAUUCAAGGGCUGUUGGAACAAGGGAAGUAACCUCAAAUGCUCCAGGGGACUGCUUUGAACGGAUUCUUAACCUAAGUUAUUCCCUGCAAUGAAGAAUAAGAGAGAAAAAAAAAAAAUCAGAAAAACUAGCCAGCAUAGCCAC
Molecule: long non-coding RNA, 577 nt
Filed under: Sarcophilus harrisii (Tasmanian devil)
Lineage: Eukaryota; Metazoa; Chordata; Mammalia; Dasyuromorphia; Dasyuridae
Description: lncRNA (ENSSHAG00000023269.1)
Source: RNAcentral